Long non-coding RNA from Micropterus salmoides (largemouth bass), 271 nucleotides. RefSeq lists it as uncharacterized. Lineage: Eukaryota; Metazoa; Chordata; Actinopteri; Centrarchiformes; Centrarchidae. The transcript has 3 exons. The record is from RefSeq and is a predicted model, not a curated record.
GAAAUAAACAAAGUGAUCCGCACCCUGCCACGCAACACUAUUCCAGCCGUUCCAGCCAUGAUUUGGGUGCCAGACAACAGUGAGGUGGCUUAAGGAUGCAGAGAUGCAGACGGUGCAGCCAUCAGUCUCACCAUCGGGUUUUAAUGACUGCAGUGAGAGCAACAUUACAGCUCAGAGCCUGAGGCCAUCAAUCAAAAAACUAGCACGUGUUAAACCUGGUGGUGUAUCUCUUUAUGUGCCUGUACCUGGCCCUUGUUGCGUGGUACUGGCG